CCGAUUAAUUACUCAAAAAAAAAAAACCCUUUUGUGCUCAGGGUGAUGUAACUGCAAUUACCUCUCAUUUCAGUGUGGAAAAGGUGUGAUAACCACUCAUUUGUGCAGCUGAAGGGUUUAACUGGGAGUUAUUACAGUGCACAGUGCAAUUGUAAUUAAAGCACGCGGGUUUCUGGUAUGAAAAGUCCUCAGACAUCAAGUGGCAACAAGAGAUGAAUCAGUCAUAUUAAAUCUCCAGUUUCUUUGUUCACGUCGUGUCAACCCCCAAAUUUCCAGUGUUGUCAGUGCUCACCUGGUUAAACACAGAGCUCCUGCAGAGCAAGCAGAGCACAGGGACACGGGGCAAUAAUAAUUUAAAUGAUAUUUACACAUUUGAAGUGAUUCCGAUGCUUCUGAUUAACUGGGAAUGGAUGAGUUUAGGAGUAAAAACAUCACCUUCUUUUUAGAAAGCAUCCCCCAAAGAAUAUGUGCACUGGAAAUCUGAUUGCUUUGCAUGACAUCAUGCAAAGUUGUACAAGUUUAAAUUUGCAGCUUGCAAAAAGCCAGUUUUCUGUGAGUGUGAAGGAAAAGAAAUCCUGUCCUGCUUUGGUGCUGAGGCUGGCAAGGAAAUCAGGAUGUUUGCCCUUGGCACAGGGUGGUGAGCGCUGGGUUAUCGCCUGGUCGUGUGGGAAUUAAGGCAGUUGCAGAGCUUGGUCUAACUGUGCAAAGCACUUCCAGCUUUCCCUAGUUGUAACUAUGUAGGAAUAAAGCCCUUAUUUUCCAUAGGGAUGCAGAAACACCCUCCAGCCACUUUUUCCUCAGGGUUUUGGAGGCAUUUUAUAAGCGAGUGAUAUUUGCCUGGCUGCCAGCAGUUAUCAUAAAUUGAUAAAUAAUCCAUUUAUGCCAAGUUGACUUGGAGUGUGUUGAAUUGUGAGUACAAGGGCUCCAAAUAACCAGGCAAAUUAGAGCAAAGACUGAUAAGAGAACAGACAAUCUGAUCCAAACCUGCUCCGUGGCAGAGAUCAGGUCGAUAAUAUUGUGCCGCAGGACACAGAGAAAGGAGUUUGGGUCAUAAAACUGCUGAAAAAUUGGCACAUUUAUCUUUCCUCACCACUUUUCUUCUGUCUCUAGAGAGUAGGAACAACCCUGAGAUCCCAUAAUGUGCAGAGUCAUGUGUGGAAACAUAAAUAUAGAAGAGGAGAGACCUCAGUGGGGUUGUCCCAAAGUGGCACCCAAACUGUGUCCGCCAGGAGCUGGUGUUGUAGGGAGAGGGAGUUCCUAUGGCAGCAGGAAUGAACUCUUUGCCAUUUUAUUUAGAAACCAGCACAAACUGCUCUGGUCUUAAAGGUGUCUUUGAGGAUAUAAAAGCUCUAAUCUUGGUCUGCUCCAGAGGCUUUUGUGGAGCUGGUUAGUGUUGGAUAUAUGGGCAGCUCCACCACAUUCCUUCCACAUCUGACGCCAAUACCUCUUCAAGAGCUUUUCGUGGCCCACUAAACUAAUUCAGGAGCUGCAGCAAGAAAGGUGCAAUGUGGACAGUACAGCUCCCUGCUGCUCUGACUGGACAGAGCAGACAUUCCUCGGCCUUGAAAUCCUCAUUAAUUUUGGGAUUUGUUUGGCUAAAACAGUGUCUUUUGCUCUACCAACAUCAGAAGCACUGACCUUUUAUACAAAAUAGGCACUUUAGUAAUACCCCCCCCUAUUUUUCAUGGCAAGUUGUCAUUUGUUGUUCAAAGCCCUUUAAGGUUAUCCUAUUAUUUGAAAACUUCAGAGGUUUCUUCAAAGAAGGAAACUGUGAAGAAAAUGUUUGAGCCCAUAAUCCUAUUUAGAGAUGGGAUUUUAGAGGUAAGAGGUCACCUCUUAGUUAAGGAUUCGUUAUUAGAUUGUUGUUUAAAAAAAAUAAGAGAAGAAAGUGGGGAGUGGGUAACACAUACUAUUGAUUCCUUUCAAUUAAAAUACUGCAGUAUUUUUAUUUUCAAAGGUAGAUGAACCCAGUUUUAAAAAGUUCCUGAUUUUUCUGGGCUGAUCAUCUAAAUAGAAAUCACAUUUAUUUAGAAUAACCUUAGUGGUUUAAAAUAUUGCAGUUUGAGUUUUCUCUGCUGUCUGGGUUGGAAUAGAAACAAAAGCCAUCUGCUUUUUAGCUUGUCAGGAGAUAUCCAUCAUCCCACUGGCAAUUUUGUUCACUGUGCUCCCAGCUGAUGGCUUCCCUCUGACUAAAUUCCCUGGAAAAGCACAGAAUCCAUAUGUUUGCUUGUCUCGGAAAUGGCAACGAAAAGCACAGCGUAAUGAAACAAAAUAAAUACAUUUCAGGCAAUAAAGAUGGAAAAAUAACAAAGCAAAAGGAGCCCAAGGGAUUUGUUCAAAUGAACAGAGCAAUUUCUAAAAGCCUAAUGGUGCAGUUCAGAUUGUAUAUAAUUGUAUAUUUGAAAACUCAGAUUCAUUGGGUAAAAAUUUUGGUAUUUUCUUCCUAUAAUUUAUAGUGGUUUGUUGGUUUGGGGUUGGUUUUCAGAAGUGACCUGGAAAUUCAGUGGGCCAGGUUCCAGUGGCACAGACGUGACCCCAGUGUGUGCGGCUGGAACUGAGCAGGUAAAGUAGCAAACAGUGAUUUGAAAUGUAUUGAGACUUGUAUUUUUACCCCCCGGGGGGUAUUUUAAUGCAGCAGCAAUUUAAGGCUGAUGUAUUUUAAUCAAUGCCUUGAACAAAUAGUUAAAGUCACAAAAUGGCUUCUGUUAAACUUCCCUGUUUUCAAACACCCAGAACUUCCACUGGCAGCACAGAUGGCCUGGAUUUGAUCUAUACCCCAAGCAGAUUUCUUGGGGUUGGUUACUUAGUUUUAUGCAUUAUUUAAAAAAAAUAAACCACCUUGGCUUCCUUUGAGUCAUGGCCAUCAUAAAAUCUGCACUUGGUAUUAUACUUUAUGAGGUAAAAUUGCAAAUUUGCUCUUCUUGGCUCUCCACGAGAGACCAGUUAAGUUUGAACCUGCAGAGCUGCCACAGAGCCACGUCCUGUCUGUAUUUUCACGUGUUUCAGCUUCCCCUCAGUGAGGACCUGCCGGGAUGAGGAUUUGAAGGUCUUGCUGCAGUUCAGACUCUCUCAUAAAGCAAUUUUCUAUUUUGACAACUUUGAAAAAUGACACAGUUUUGAAUAUUCAACAUUUGGAGAGCUAAUCCAGUAGUUUUUAACAAAGGCAGGUGAUUGUUUCUCUUUUUUAAACCCAAAUGAGGUGGGAUGUGAGUAACUUCGGUGGCAAAUUAAUUGUAGGUGGUUUCUGCCUUUUUUGCAGUGGCUGAAGAGCCGAUUUCUCUUGUAGCUGAUUCUGGCAGGUUUGUUCCACUUAAUGGUAAAAAGGUCAAUUGCAUGAGAAUAAAAAGGAAGAAAAAAUCUAAAAUGGCAUCUUUGAACUAGACAGGCAGUGAAAUUAAAAUUCUAAAUGGUUGAUAGGAGGCUUGGAAUGCCCCCUGAAUAGAAGACUAAACACAGUCACCUCCUUUAUGGAAGAAUCUUUUGUUGAAGGUUGGCUUUUCUAUCUUUUUGCUGAAUUUCCAUCAGCUAUUUUAUUGUCUAAUUACUGCCAGUAAAAGUUAUUUAUUUCUUUUGUCUAACAGCCAUUUCUGCAAGUUCUGUGCCCGCCUCAACCACAGAAAAACCUCUUUUCUUCAUUUCAUUGCCUAUAUUAUAAAGCACACUCUGUGUCUAAUCCCUCUUUCCUUUACAUCUUGAUUUUAGCAAUAAAUGUUGCCUGAAAGUUUAGAUCUAAUUAUUGAAAUCACUUGGGAAUCUCCUACGUACAGAAAGAUGAUCAAAACUCUAAUUUUUAUUUAUAGUCUCAGUUCUAAUUAAUGCACAUCUUUGUCUGAGCAAAAUUAUCCCCUUUCUGAUAUUUUUUUUCCAUGCUUUAUGGUUUGGGAUCAUCUCUACGUUUCAUCAAUAUCCAACUGGAUUUUUUCCUCCAGUUCAUUAAUAAAGAUAUUAAAUUGCACCAGCCAACAUAACAACAAACAUUGCUGGAUCUGUUCUUUCCCCUCGAGGUCUAUACCCUUUGUUUCCUUUACAGUUAAACAUUUCCAGUGUUUUCCUCCACGUCAAUCAGGUAUUGUCUUGCCAGAUUCCUUACUUUAAAAUUUCCUGGGUAUGAAAUUUUAGUCCAAUUAAAAGCAUCCUUCUCCUUCUUUCCCCUUUGCCCCGUCGGGUGAAUUUUUUUCCUCAUUUGUAUUUUUUGCAAAAUAAUUCAGUUUCAUCCAAAUGUUGAGUCUCUGCCAAACCCGAGAGGGACUUUAACUGGAACACAGCGGGGUUAGAGGUGGAAGUAUCCAUGGAAACAAACUUCCCUGCAGAUGUUCAGAUAUUCCUCGGGCAUCCCAAGCACGGGUAGAACGUGGGGCUGGUUCUGUCUUUGAAGGUUCACACCUGACCAGCACAGCCUGAGCUCUGUGUAAUGUCAGAUCCCAGCUCCAACAGGUACUUCAGAGUAAUUGUGCUGAAAUAAUGGAUCCACUUCCCUGGUAUUGUCUUUGUAGGGAAAAGCCUACAUUUUCUCAGUGUUCCUUCUCUCAGGUUGCAUCCUUAGCUCCAUUCUCUCCCAUUUUGCUCUGCUUUUUAAGCAGCUCUGUUAAAUCCUUGCCUUAACCUUUAUAUCAUUCCCCUCUCCUUGAACCUGAGCCGAUCCACAGCCGGGACUGCAGCCAAACCCUGCCUGCCUGGCUCAGCCAAGCAGUUCCAGCCAGGAAUAUCAGCCGUGGGAUUAGAUGGACGAACAUGGGAGAAGUAACCAGAAUGCAACAGCUCAACACCCUUCUCCCAGUCCAGCCCUCAGGCCCUGGACAUUGAGCUGGUCAAACAAACAGGCUCAGUUGGAUGUUGGGAAUGAAGGACAUCCCUGGACUUGGGUGAGAUCAAAGGAAAUGUCGACCACGAGCUUCCAGGGAGUGCUGCACCUUCCCAACCACUUGGGGAAUGAGUGGAAUUCCCUCCAGGAUGAACCAGGCUGGGAAUCGAGAUGGGAGGAAAACAACCCAUAUUUGAAAUUACUGCUGUAAAACAUCCCUGCCUGGAAUUCCAGUUUGGUCCAACGAGCAGGAAGGUGAUUCAGCUCUUUGCUUAUUGGACUUUGUCAGCUUUCCAUGGCUGAAGCAGAGUCUGAUGGAAUGACACAGCUCCCUGCCACCUGCAAAGCAGGGAUGGAUUUCUGAGAGGAACUGUCCUGCACUGGGAAACGUCUCUGAGAAGCCCCUGGGAUCUGCUGGGUGUUCCUGGAGAAGGGACACGAGGGGACUGUCCCUCCCUGGCCACUGCAGGGCUGUCUCCCAGAAGAUGGAGCUCUUUCCCCAGCACUGCUGAUGGAGACCUUAUCUGUAUCACAGGCCCAUAAGGCUGGGACACAGGAAUGCUCCUUGUGAGGCACUUGGAAACGUGCAGUUGAGCCCUCAAAACCCUUGAUGCAUUUUUUAGACGUGUUUCAGGUGCUGGGGUGGCUCCAGGUGGUGCCAGCGUGUCCCUCGGCUCCUCCGGCUCCUCCUCUCCUGGCACUGGAACCAGCUUGGGCAGCUCCAGCUCCCUGUAAGUCUGAGGGGUCUUGGUUUCUUUGGGUUUUGACACAAUGUUUGGGGCCAUUUUCUGCUUGGAAGGGAAUUGUAAAGCAAGUCCCAGGAGUCCUUCCAGAUCAACUUGCUAUUUGGAUUUAAGAACUGGACAUGGAAAACUUGUAUCCAAAUUUAUUUGAGACAGAGAUUUUCCUUUAAUGGCAUCUUGACCAUUGAAAAUAUAAAGUCAUGCAUUAAUGUUUUAGUUUACAGUUUAAUACAGCGUUCCUUGGAACACUUCAUACGUGAAGCCAGAGCAGAGAAACAGAGACUGUGUUUUCCUGACACACACUAUUGCUUUAAGGUACUUUUCACAUCACUUGAUUAAUUAAUUAAUGAAUUCUGCCACACAACUGCAGUUAUUUGGGAUACAAUCACUGUGGAAGGAAGGCAAAGAUGAUUGAUUAGAGCACAGCAGAGGAGCUCACUGAUGUCACCACGUGACAGAACAGGAUUGGAUCCCAGAGGUUUCCCUAAAAACAGACUGCACAGGGACUGCUCUGUGUGUGCCCAACUGCUCUGCUGGGCAGUCAUAUAAGGCAUUAAUAAAUUCAGCCGUAAAAAAAGGUGAUUUUUGAGGUUGCUGAAGCACUUUGUGUGUUAAACAAGCAGGAAUCCACUCCUUUAACGGGAUGUUUUCGCUACUUUUCCAUGCAGUGGCAGCAGAGUGGCCUGGCAGGAAGGUUCCAGAGCUCAGACCCUGUUGUCCUGAACUGGGACUAAAGCACUAUUUAGCAUUGCUUUGCAAAGACUAAAUCCCUGGUUUGAACAGCACAGGACUGGGCCAAAGCAGCUCCAUCGAACACCCGGCGGGAGGGAGAGCAGGGACUGAACCUCAGGCACAGCCCAGGGACACGGGGGAGAGCGGGGAUAAAGGCAGGGUGGUGGGGUGUGAAAUAAAGACAUUUUGGGGUGUG
This is a long non-coding RNA of Pipra filicauda (Wire-tailed manakin), 6472 nucleotides long. RefSeq lists it as uncharacterized. The record is from RefSeq and is a predicted model, not a curated record. Lineage: Eukaryota; Metazoa; Chordata; Aves; Passeriformes; Pipridae. The transcript has 8 exons.